GACGAACGCUGGCGGCGUGCUUAACACAUGCAAGUCGAACGAUGAAGCACCAGCUUGCUGGUGUGGAUUAGUGGCGAACGGGUGAGUAACACGUGAGUAACCUGCCCCUCACUCUGGGAUAAGCCUGGGAAACUGGGUCUAAUACUGGAUACGACCGAUCUCCGCAUGGAGUGUUGGUGGAAAGUUUUUGUGGUGGGGGAUGGACUCGCGGCCUAUCAGCUUGUUGGUGGGGUAAUGGCCUACCAAGGCGACGACGGGUAGCCGGCCUGAGAGGGCGACCGGCCACACUGGGACUGAGACACGGCCCAGACUCCUACGGGAGGCAGCAGUGGGGAAUAUUGCACAAUGGGCGAAAGCCUGAUGCAGCGACGCCGCGUGAGGGAUGACGGCCUUCGGGUUGUAAACCUCUUUCACCAGGGACGAAGCUAACGUGACGGUAACUGGAGAAGAAGCACCGGCUAACUACGUG
RNAcentral lists this ribosomal RNA (469 nucleotides) under uncultured bacterium. RNAcentral describes it as "partial 16S ribosomal RNA". It matches the Rfam family "Bacterial small subunit ribosomal RNA", at positions 28 to 507 of the family's 1533-position model. The record is from RNAcentral.